Molecule: small RNA, 154 nt
Filed under: Muricomes intestini
Lineage: Bacteria; Bacillati; Bacillota; Clostridia; Lachnospirales; Lachnospiraceae
Description: Clostridiales-1 RNA
Rfam family: Clostridiales-1 RNA
Source: RNAcentral
UGAUACCAGGGUCAAAAGGUCAUGCGUUUCAUGCUUGCAUGAAAAAGCAUGACUUUGGGACCCGCAAAACAUGAGAGAGUAGCCCGAGCAGGGCGGAUUUCGAAUGUUUUUAGGAUUGCGGGAGCACAAAGUGCGUAGCAAUCCGCAGGUAUCA